GAUGAACGCUGGCGGCGUGCCUAAUACAUGCAAGUCGAGCGAACAGACGAGGAGCUUGCUCCUCUGACGUUAGCGGCGGACGGGUGAGUAACACGUGGAUAACCUACCUAUAAGACUGGGAUAACUUCGGGAAACCGGAGCUAAUACCGGAUAAUAUAUUGAACCGCAUGGUUCAAUAGUGAAAGACGGUUUUGCUGUCACUUAUAGAUGGAUUCGCGCCGCAUUAGCUAGUUGGUAAGGUAACGGCUUACCAAGGCAACGAUGCGUAGCCGACCUGAGAGGGUGAUCGGCCACAAUGGAACUGAGACACGGUCCAGACUCCUACGGGAGGCAGCAGUAGGGAAUCUUCCGCAAUGGGCGAAAGCCUGACGGAGCAACGCCGCGUGAGUGAUGAAGGUCUUCGGAUCGUAAAACUCUGUUAUUAGGGAAGAACAAAUGUGUAAGUAACUAUGCACGUCUUGACGGUACCUAAUCAGAAAGCCACGGCUAACUACGUG
This 497-nucleotide ribosomal RNA is filed under the name uncultured bacterium. RNAcentral describes it as "partial 16S ribosomal RNA". It matches the Rfam family "Bacterial small subunit ribosomal RNA", at positions 28 to 507 of the family's 1533-position model. The record is from RNAcentral.